This 253-nucleotide unclassified non-coding RNA is filed under the name uncultured Alphaproteobacteria bacterium. Its description in RNAcentral is "contains 16S-23S intergenic spacer region". It matches the Rfam family "Bacterial small subunit ribosomal RNA", at positions 524 to 776 of the family's 1533-position model. The record is from RNAcentral. Lineage: Bacteria; Pseudomonadati; Pseudomonadota; Alphaproteobacteria.
UACAGAGGAUGCAAACGUUGCUCGGAAUUACUGGGCGUAAAGCGCGCGCAGGUGGUCUCGUAAGUCGGGCGUGAAAUCCCGGGGCUCAACCUCGGAAUUGCCUUUGAUACUGGGUGUCUUGAGUAUGAGAGAGGCGAGUGGAAUUCCGAGUGUAGAGGUGAAAUUCGUAGAUAUUCGGAAGAACACCAGUGGCGAAGGCGACUCGCUGGACAAGUAUUGACGCUGAGGCGCGAAAGCGUGGGGAUCAAACAGG